RNAcentral lists this ribosomal RNA (253 nucleotides) under uncultured bacterium. RNAcentral's name for it is "partial 16S ribosomal RNA". It matches the Rfam family "Bacterial small subunit ribosomal RNA", at positions 524 to 776 of the family's 1533-position model. The record is from RNAcentral.
UACGGAGGGGGCAAGCGUUGUUCGGAAUUACUGGGCGUAAAGCGCACGUAGGCGGCUUUCUAAGUCGGGGGUGAAAUCCUGGAGCUCAACUCCAGAACUGCCUUCGAUACUGGAAAGCUCGAGUCCGGGAGAGGUGAGUGGAACUGCGAGUGUAGAGGUGAAAUUCGUAGAUAUUCGCAAGAACACCAGUGGCGAAGGCGGCUCACUGGCCCGGUACUGACGCUGAGGUGCGAAAGCGUGGGGAGCAAACAGG